CCUACGGGUGGCAGCAGUGGGGAAUAUUGGACAAUGGGCGCAAGCCUGAUCCAGCAAUGCCGCGUGUGUGAAGAAGGCCUGCGGGUUGUAAAGCACUUUAAGCAGGAAAGAAGGGGUGGAAGUUAAUACCUUUCAUCAUUGACGUUACCUGCAGAAUAAGCACCGGCUAACUCCGUGCCAGCUGCCGCGGUAAUACGGAGGGUGCAAGCGUUGCUCGGAAUGAGUGGACGUAAGGCGCUCAGUGCGGGUUGAAAGCCCCGGGCUUAACCUGGGAACUGCGGUGGAUACUGUCGAGCUAGAGUGUGGUAGAGGGGAGUGGAAUUUCCGGUGUAGCAGUGAAAUGCGUAGAGAUCGGAAGGAACACCAGUGGCGAAGGCGGCUCCCUGGACUAACACUGACGCUGAGGUGCGAAAGCGUGGGGAGCAAACAGGAUUAGAUACCCCGGUAGUC
RNAcentral lists this ribosomal RNA (450 nucleotides) under uncultured bacterium. RNAcentral describes it as "partial 16S ribosomal RNA". It matches the Rfam family "Bacterial small subunit ribosomal RNA", at positions 338 to 795 of the family's 1533-position model. The record is from RNAcentral.